GACGAACGCUGGCGGCGUGCUUAACACAUGCAAGUCGAACGGAAAGGCCCUGCUUGCAGGGUACUCGAGUGGCGAACGGGUGAGUAACACGUGGGUGAUCUGCCCUGCACUUCGGGAUAAGCCUGGGAAACUGGGUCUAAUACCGGAUAGGAGCCAUUUUUAGUGUGAUGGUUGGAAAGUUUUUUCGGUGUAGGAUGAGCUCGCGGCCUAUCAGCUUGUUGGUGGGGUAAUGGCCUACCAAGGCGGCGACGGGUAGCCGGCCUGAGGGGGUGGACGGCCACAUUGGGACUGAGGUACGGCCCAGGCUCCUACGGGGGGCAGCAGUGGGGAAUAUUGCACAAUGGGCGCAAGCCUGAUGCAGCGACGCCGCGUGGGGGAUGACGGCCUUCGGGUUGUAAACUCCUUUCGCUAGGGACGAAGCUUUUUGUGACGGUACCUAGAUAAGAAGCACCGGCUAACUACGUG
This 465-nucleotide ribosomal RNA is filed under the name uncultured bacterium. Its description in RNAcentral is "partial 16S ribosomal RNA". It matches the Rfam family "Bacterial small subunit ribosomal RNA", at positions 28 to 507 of the family's 1533-position model. The record is from RNAcentral.